CAACAUUGGUAUUACAGUAUUGGUAUGUUUACUUGUAGGUCAUCAAGGACUUGGUGAGCCAGAAAUAUGAAGAGGAAAAGGAGAAAACAAAAAAGGACCUCCAGAGCGUCAUUGCUGUUAUUUUAACAGCUGAUAUGUGGACAUCCAUUAAUAUGGAGGCAUAUCUUGCCGUUACUAUUGCCACUAUGUGGACAAAGAAAGCCAUGAACUCUGUUCAUCAGUCUUGGGAGUGCAGCAUUUCCCUCAGAAACACACUGCAGAAAACAUGGCCACAGUUAAAAGGAGCCUCACGGAGGAGUGGGGCAUAGCAGGCAAAGUCAGGUGUCUUGUCACUGAUGCAGCAGCAAACAUGAUUGCAUGUGCUCGAAUGCUGCAAGUACGGCAAACCAUUUGCAUUGCCCAUUCCAUAAAUUUAAUUGUAAGAAAAUCAUGUGAUCAAAUCUCAACACCAACAGAACUACGCAACAAAGCACGGCAAAUUGUGACAUACUUUCGAUCAAGCACCACGGCCAAGGAAAAGCUCUCUCAAAUGCAGCAACAGCUGGGAACACCAUUGCAUAAAUUAAUAAAUGAGGUGCCGACACGAUGGAACAGCACCUACCACAUGCUGGAGAGACUGACUGAGCAGAAGGAGGCAGUCUGGGUGUCACUGGCCUCAUUAAAAACUGAUCUCACUCCACUGACUCCAGAAGAAUUUGAAAUCAUUGAAGAGAUGCUCAGGGUGCUUGCUCCUUUUUACCAAGCCGAAAAAAGAGUCUCGGGGUCAAAGGUUAUUCCAUUGAUGAGAAUGAUCCACAUUGAGCUUCAACAUCAAUCUUCAACGGUGACAAAACCCACUGCUAAACAGCUGGCUGAAAAUCUGUCAAAGCGGCUAACCGAGUCCAUCUGUAACAUGGAGUCGCUCAGUGUGAUGUCGCUGGCGACAUUGUUGGACCCCAGGUUUAAAACUGCUGGCUUUUUUAGUCCACUGAAAGCAACUGAAGCUGUCAAGAGACUGAAGUCAGAGUGUGCUGCUGAAAUGAGGAGCCAUGAGCCUGACCCAGCAGUAGAGGAGCCUAGCACUUCACGUGGAUCAGAACACAGUUCAGGUAUGAAAACACAUUUCUUUGUGAAUAUUUGUUUAUUUCUGCGGAAGUUUGUCAUGUGAUAGUAAACCAAUGAUUAACAGACUUAUUUCCAAUUUAUUUGUUAGGACACAAUCUCUGGAGGCACCUUGAUAUGGAGGUUGAGGAGAGCAGGAUGACCUCUAAUACUACAGCCAAUUCCAUAACUGAAGUCCAACGCUACCUGGCUGAAAGAAAUGCACCGAGAACACAAGACCCAUUACAAUAUUGGAAAAAUAACCAGAAUUUAGAUCCACACCUUUAUCAACUCGCACUUCAAUUCUUAUGCACACCAUCUUCAUCUGUACCCUGUGAAAGAGUGUUUUCUAAGGCAGGGGAACUGGUGUCUAAGAGGAGAAAUGGCCUUGGAGCAAACACACUGCACAAACUUUUGUUCCUCAAUAAAAAUGCAUAAAUGAAUCCAUAUUUAGUCUUUUAUUUUGUAUGAUCUAACUCAGAGGUUAACACAUUUACAGAAGUUAAAACUUUUACUUCUGAUUUUUAUUAGACACAUUCAGAAGAUUUAACAUGCCAACUCAUUGUAACAUUUACACAAAGGUUAUAAGCAAAUGUUAAACUCCUUUCAUAAACAACUUAACUUAAAUUGAGUAAAUUAAAUUACAUAAUGAUAUAUUUUGAUUACAGGAAAUUAAAUUUAGCACACCUGGUGUGGGUUUGCAGCAUGUAAGCUUUUCCAUCUUAUUUACCUGCAAUGAUUUUAGAAAUACUGCAGGUGUCGCUAUUGAGUGACCAACACAGUGUCAAUACAGUUUGUCUAGUGUGUCAAUACACUCCUUGAGGUAUCAUCAUUCCAUCACUAGUAACAACGCCUUUUGCUGUGGCUUUCCCAAGUCCAUUACAUAAUUGUAAACUGUUCUGAAGUCAGAUUUCACCUCAGUGCUUACAGGUUUAUGCUAUUGUGUCUAUUACAAAAGCUGACUCUGGAACUAGGCCUUCUCUGAGCUGCAGGUGAAGAUGAUUGAUACUCAGCAGAAGGUGAAGCUGGCUGACUUGCAGAUCGAUCAGCUAACACGCGCUCAGAAACAUGCUAAGCUCACGCACGCUGAGAUCGCCAAGCUACCUGAUAACACGCGACUCUAUGAGGGGAUCGGCCGGAUGUUCAUUCUUCAGUCAAAGGA
Nothobranchius furzeri (turquoise killifish) is the source of this 2242-nucleotide non-coding RNA. Lineage: Eukaryota; Metazoa; Chordata; Actinopteri; Cyprinodontiformes; Nothobranchiidae. The record is from RefSeq and is a predicted model, not a curated record.